GAGAUUCGAGUGGGACCUUCACUUAGAGAUUUUACAACAAUUAUAUGUCUUAGAGCUCUGCACAUACGUGGAGGUGUUGGCCAACACACAAUUGGUUGAAAGUAAUAUCCAAAGUUUUUCCUUGGCAGUGGGUAAUUCCAGAUCCCUCACCCCACAUCGGAGGCUGGUGUUAGAGAUACUGGACCAGCAAAAUAAAAGACCCAGAGUAG
RNAcentral lists this long non-coding RNA (209 nucleotides) under Carica papaya (papaya). Its description in RNAcentral is "long non-coding RNA (CPAP_LNC010446)". The record is from RNAcentral. Lineage: Eukaryota; Viridiplantae; Streptophyta; Magnoliopsida; Brassicales; Caricaceae.